RNAcentral lists this ribosomal RNA (471 nucleotides) under uncultured bacterium. RNAcentral describes it as "partial 16S ribosomal RNA". It matches the Rfam family "Bacterial small subunit ribosomal RNA", at positions 838 to 1306 of the family's 1533-position model. The record is from RNAcentral.
CGGCAGUAAUCCNCCUAACGGAUUAAGUAUACCGCCUGGGGAGUACGGUCGCAAGAUUAAAACUCAAAGGAAUAGACGGGGACCCGCACAAGCGGUGGAGCGUGUGGUUUAAUUCGAAGAUACGCGANGAACCUUACCCGGACUUGAUAUCUAACAAAUCAUCCAGAGAUGGAAGAGUGUCUGCUUGCAGAAAUGUUAAGACAGGUGCUGCACGGCUGUCGUCAGCUCGUGUCGUGAGAUGUUNNNNNAANNNNNNGCAACGAGCGCAACCCACGUCAUUAGUUGCUAACGGUUCGGCCGAGCACUCUAAUGAGACUGCCUUCGUAAGGAGGAGGAAGGUGUGGACGACGUCAAGUCAUCAUGGCCCUUAUGUCCGGGGCGACACACGUGCUACAAUGGCAUAUACAAUGAGACGCAAUAUCGCGAGAUGGAGCAAAUCUAAAAAAUAUGUCCCAGUUCGGAUUGGAGUNU